CUUCAAAACCUUGCCAUCUCCUUCCUACUUUCCGGCCAUGCCAUACCAUUUACCACCUCCAAAAACUACCAAUGUUCACUGAAAUUCGACGGAGUUUAUGUCGAUACGUCAAUGGAAGCACCCAAUAUUUGUACAUAGUAGAUGGUGUUGUCAAUAUCCGUGGCAUAUAAGUCAACUUUUCCCAUUACAAAAUCAACAAUUUGUUCUUUUGGAAUUUGAUCCAUUUACAGGCUACUCUGAAGAAGACGACGACUGAAUAAUUAACUACUCUGAAGCGGAUGAUGAUGAUGUUAUUUUCAUCACUGGGAUUAAAAUCCACCUGUUCCAAGUUGCCAUCUUUGUUUUUGUUUCCAUUUCAAUUGUUCAACAGCUAAGGAUGCCGGUUGCACACCAGGUGUUCGAUAAAAUGCCAACACCAACUAUCUGCAAAUUUUCAGGUACGGAAAAGGACCUUACUGAACUAGAGCAUUGCAUGUCAAGACUCACUGGAAGUGAAGGGAAUAGUAAGGGAAUCCCACACCGAAAGAGCCCUACUAGGGGUAGAUCCCAUGACCUUGAAGUCAUAAGGCCAAACUUUUACCACUAGGCCAAACCUCACUUGAUACGUCACUCUGUGACUCUGCUAUAUGCUAUUGAGUUAUCUUCUCAUUUCUGAAGUCCUUAUCACAGGUCUUCCUGAGAUGGACUUCUCACGUCACUCUGCUAAAUUUCAGAGAACGUUACUUCGUACUAGGGAUGGAUAUAUGUAACUAAAAAUAGCACCACGGCAAUUUGAUUCGUAUGAGGGAGCAUAUAAGAAAAGUUGGAGUCAGCAAAGAUGACUCUCUUAAUUUGGUGGUUUUGAUUUUGUUCAAAAAGGUGGAUGAAGAAAUUGAUUCUGCAAAACUGCACUCCCACAAAUAGACCAAGAAAGCAAGCAUUACAGGUGAAAAAGGUACUGAUAGCGCUAAGAGUAAUACUUUAACUAUACUCCAUUUCAAUUUCAAUUUCAAUUUCAAUUUCAAUUUCAAUGGUGUUAUGACUUAUGAAUAAUACUAAAACUGAACAUAAAUUAAGUGAACAUAAAUCUUUGAUAAAAUGUAAGCUUGUAUAUUAAAGCAUAAAAACAUAAGUGGAAACUUAUAACAGGCAAAAACCCCCACUUAUGGGAGGAAAAAGCCCUACUCGCCCUUGGAGGUGUCUCCCUAAGGAGAACUUUUUAUA
This is a long non-coding RNA of Spinacia oleracea (spinach), 1203 nucleotides long. RefSeq lists it as uncharacterized. The transcript has 4 exons. Lineage: Eukaryota; Viridiplantae; Streptophyta; Magnoliopsida; Caryophyllales; Amaranthaceae. The record is from RefSeq and is a predicted model, not a curated record.